This is a long non-coding RNA of Cebus imitator (Panamanian white-faced capuchin), 2376 nucleotides long. RefSeq lists it as uncharacterized. The transcript is spliced from 3 exons. The record is from RefSeq and is a predicted model, not a curated record. NCBI's taxonomy places the organism in Eukaryota, Metazoa, Chordata, Mammalia, Primates, Cebidae.
AUUACAAACAACGCCGCCUGGGUCAUGUCACAAAUGUGCACGCAUAGCUGGUGUUCCAUUUCUACAAGCAGAACCGCUGGGUCAAAGAAUCUGUGCAUUCAGAUUGAUCCUUGCCCUCCGAGGAGGUGGUAUCAUUUUACAGCCACUAGCAAAGUAAGAGAGUGGCCUCCCUUCUUGCCAAGCCCUCAAAGCUUGCAUCUCUGCCAGUCUGCUCUGUGGAAAAUGGGGUCUGGGUAUAGUUUUCAUUUGCACUUGUCGUGUGCUAAGUGAGACUGAGCAUCUUUUCAGCGUCCAGCCCUGUGGCUGGCUCCAGGUCCUCCUUGUACACAGCUCUAAGGCUGUGGCCUUGCCUGUGACUGGCUCUGCAAGAUCCAGGACUAGAUUUGGGUUUCUAUCUUCCGGCUUCUCGCUGAGUCACUCCCAGGAAGGAAAGGGCAGCAGGCUCAGGUUAUUUCUGCCUGGGCCAUCUAAGCUGCCAGUCCUGGGAAGACCUUGGCCUCCCGAACUCCCUGUGGGCGCCCUGCACCUGUGCGUUGCACCUGUCAAACCCAGCCUUCCUGGGCCCCCUGGGAGGGAUAGGGGCUUGCAGAUAGGGAUCAGGCCAGGCAUGUUUGUAAACUAGGCAUGAAAGGACCCAGCUAGACUAGAAGGAUUUGGAAGAAAUCAAUGAGCAAAGUCCUAAGCUCUAGGUGACAGAAUGAGAGGAAUGAGGCCGAGUGGAGAGAAGAGAUCAAAGUCGUUGAGAGGACUUUAGGCAGAGAGGGUGGUGAGCCACCGCCGGGGGAUGGGACACUUGGGAACAGCUCUCAUGGAAUCACGUGAGACGAACUGUGCAGCUUCCGCCCUGGCUCCAGGGCCCAUCAUCACUUCAGGGUGUGUGCUAAGAGCUGCCGAGGGUGGGAAGUAGAGACAGCCUUUGGCCUGUGCAUGGAGAAUCCAGGCCACGCAUGAGGCCAGCCAGAGGCCUGGAGAAGCCCCUCUCUCCACAGGGACCCUCUCUGAACAGGGUCUGGGCCUCUGCGAGGGAGCUCUGGUCAGGUGGUUGUAAUUUAAGCUCAGGGCCGCUCUGUGUGUCUUGCUCACUGAAGGACGGAAGGACGAGAGAAGCCAGGAGAAGCUGGUGGCUGCAUUCCUGGGCCCCUGGGGAGUCUGCAGCCUGUUAUUUCCUGACUCAAACAAAAAGCAAAUUUGCUCUGGAAAUUGCUGAGGCAGAGUCAUCCUGGAGCUCCUCGAAGAAUGGGGACUUGUAAUUUUCUAAGCUCCAGGGCCUCUGACUCCUGGGAGCUGGGCUUUCCCCUCUGUGAGCUUCCGUGGAGACCCUGGGGCCUGUUCUAGGCUCAACCACCAACCACAGUUCAGGCACUCCUCCCUGCUCUGUUGGGGCCGGCAAUCCAGCGCUAGACUUCAGAAGUGGACAGGGAGAGAGAUUUGCUGUAUCUGGGGCUCCAUUUCAGUUCCAUCCAGGUGCCCCAUGCUGCUGUGUAAGAGGGAAAAUGAGCCACUGCUGAUUUUUACCCCAGCUAGGAUCAGAGACCGAUGCGGUUGCAGCAGGUGGCAUCUGGGUGGCGUGCAGGCAGGGUGGGGCCCCUUCCUGAAGCCAGCUUCUCAGAGUCUCUCAAUGCCACAUUACCAAGCAGAGUUUUCAAGAACUGUAGCUAGGGAUGCUCUCCUUCCAGCUCUUCAACCUCUCUGGGGGAAAAGCACAAACAGUUGAGGUUGUCCCUGGGGCCACCACGGAAUGCUUAAUUGCUUUCUGAGAGAAUUGUCACCUCUUUCUGCUUUCCUCCCCCUCCCCAUUGCCCUUCUCCCCCUUUCCCUCCCUCACUGGAGGCUGUUGCUAGGGGAGCUGGGGCUGAAGACAUGCGCUCCCUGACUGUGCCCCAAGGGAACCAGGAGCAUGUGCUGACGAGCAGUCCGCUUCUCCAAAUAUAUUGCUGCACCACCUUUGCUGAAAAAAAGAACCCUAUGUUUUGGAGGAAUAAAUGUGCUCUUUGCUGUGAGCCAGGCACUCUUUGACAGCAGAUGGAUGAUGUCCCAGGCCAGCUGAAUCAGCCAGACUUUGGAGCAAGCAGUGUGAACCAAGACAGGGACGGGAGCCAGCCAAGGAAAGUAAGACACAAGAAGCCACCCACACUCACCUGACCAGCCGGAACCCAGGGGAGCCGGCCUUAAUCCUGGCUUCCCUGCGGCUCAAAAGAAUCUGGAUCACAACAGGAUGCCAGAGAAGAGGUGUCCACAAGACCCCAGCAGCGUUGUUCUCAUUACGGGGUCUCCUCAGCCGAGAUCCCUCACUCUCUUCUGGCAUUCUUCUGGUUUCCUCACUGACAUCAUCAAAAUUUGUAUUCACUCAUGUAAUAAAUAUUUAUUGAGAAUGUG